This 253-nucleotide ribosomal RNA is filed under the name uncultured bacterium. RNAcentral's name for it is "partial 16S ribosomal RNA". It matches the Rfam family "Bacterial small subunit ribosomal RNA", at positions 524 to 776 of the family's 1533-position model. The record is from RNAcentral.
UACAGGGGGUGCAAACGUUGCUCGGAAUCAUUGGGCGUAAAGCGCACGUAGGCGGUUCGUUAUGUCGGAUGUGAAAGCCCUUGGCUUAACCGAGGAAGUGCAUCCGAAACUGGCGAGCUAGAGUACGAAAGAGGAUCGCGGAAUUCCCGGUGUAGUGGUGGAAUGCGUAGAUAUCGGGAGGAACACCAGUGGCGAAGGCGGCUUUCUGGUCUGAUACUGACGCUGAGGCGCGAAAGCGUGGGGAGCGAUCCGG